CCUGACGGCUCGCUGGGGGCCCGCUAGGGGCCUGCUGGGGGCUCGCUGGCUCACGCAGUUCGAUGACAUCAGGCAGAGCGGAGACCUUCCCGGGGAAAGAAGAGACAGUGAGACAGUGGGAGGGACGUGUCCUCGGUGGAGAGAACUAUUUAAUGACCACCAGGUCUCUCUUGCUGGAGUUGCAUUUAAGAGUCAUAAAAUGUGCUCUUACAUCGAACCAACAACCCCUGCAGACGAUAUGGCAACCAGGGCCGAACACCGAGCAUGACUGGAACUGCUGGAGUGAUGAUAACCCGUUAAGUCCGG
Molecule: long non-coding RNA, 306 nt
Organism: Gasterosteus aculeatus aculeatus (three-spined stickleback)
Lineage: Eukaryota; Metazoa; Chordata; Actinopteri; Perciformes; Gasterosteidae
Source: Ensembl